RNAcentral lists this ribosomal RNA (253 nucleotides) under uncultured bacterium. RNAcentral's name for it is "partial 16S ribosomal RNA". It matches the Rfam family "Bacterial small subunit ribosomal RNA", at positions 524 to 776 of the family's 1533-position model. The record is from RNAcentral.
UACAGAGGGUGCUAGCGUUGUUCGGAAUCAUUGGGCGUAAAUGGCGUGUAGGCGGUUUGUUAAGUCAUGUGUGAAAUCCCUCGGCUCAACCGGGGAACGACGCAUGAAACUGGCAAGCUAGAGUACCAAAGAGGGGGGUGGAAUUCCCGGUGUAGCGGUGAAAUGCGUAGAUAUCGAGAGGAACACCUGCGGCGAAGGCGGGUUGCUGGGCUGACACUGACGCUGAGGCGCGAAAGCUAGGGGAGCGAACGGG